Molecule: non-coding RNA, 92 nt
Organism: Clostridium sp. CAG:221
Lineage: Bacteria; Bacillati; Bacillota; Clostridia; Eubacteriales; Clostridiaceae
Source: Rfam
GAUUUUUGAGGUGAGAAAUGGCUCCUCAUACGCUGAUGUGAUGUAUUCUAUCAGUAAAUAGAGAUGCAGGACAAGCCGACCUGCCAAUAAUC